This 253-nucleotide ribosomal RNA is filed under the name uncultured bacterium. Its description in RNAcentral is "partial 16S ribosomal RNA". It matches the Rfam family "Bacterial small subunit ribosomal RNA", at positions 524 to 776 of the family's 1533-position model. The record is from RNAcentral.
UACGUAGGGUGCGAGCGUUAAUCGGAAUACUGGGCGUAAAGCGUGCGCAGGCGGUGAUGUAAGACAGAUGUGAAAUCCCCGGGCUCAACCUGGGAAUUGCGAUGGAGACUGCAAGGCUAGAAUCUGGCAGAGGGGGGGUAGAAUUCCACGUGUAGCAGUGAAAUGCGUAGAGAUGUGGAGGAACACCGAUGGCGAAGGCAGCCCCCUGGGUCAAGAUUGACGCUCAUGCACGAAAGCGUGGGGAGCAAACAGG